GUAUUUACCUGACAGGAGACAUAACCAUGAUCCCUAAGGUGGUUUUUCAAGGCCAAGGCUUAUCCAUUGCAUUCUGGAUGCAAUGUGGGAAACUAGAUUGCAUAAUUUGUGGUAGUGGGGACA
Molecule: small nuclear RNA, 123 nt
Filed under: Moschus moschiferus (Siberian musk deer)
Lineage: Eukaryota; Metazoa; Chordata; Mammalia; Artiodactyla; Moschidae
Description: U1 spliceosomal RNA (ENSMMSG00000018448.1)
Rfam family: U1 spliceosomal RNA
About the family: U1 is a small nuclear RNA (snRNA) component of the spliceosome (involved in pre-mRNA splicing).
Source: RNAcentral